RNAcentral lists this ribosomal RNA (774 nucleotides) under uncultured Neocallimastigales. RNAcentral describes it as "partial large subunit ribosomal RNA". It matches the Rfam family "Eukaryotic large subunit ribosomal RNA", at positions 24 to 634 of the family's 3401-position model. The record is from RNAcentral. Lineage: Eukaryota; Fungi; Neocallimastigomycota; Neocallimastigomycetes; Neocallimastigales.
AUCUCUGUAGAGUCUGCAUAUCAAUAAGCGGAGGAAAAGAAACUAACUAGGAUUCCCUUAGUAACGGCGAGUGAAGCGGGAAGAGCUCAAAUUUGAAAUCUUCAAGGUUUUACCUUGACGAAUUGUAGUUUAAAGAAGUGUUUUCUGUUGGAUGUUUUGGUAAAAGUUCUUUGGAAUAGGACAUCAUAGAGGGUGAGAAUCCCGUAUUUGACCAUUACUUCCAGCUUUGUGAUACACUUUCAAAGAGUCGGAUUGUUUGGGAAUGCAGUCCAAAAUGGGUGGUAAAUUUCAUCUAAAGCUAAAUAUUGGCGAGAGACCGAUAGCGAACAAGUACCGUGAGGGAAAGAUGAAAAGAACUUUGAAAAGAGAGUUAAACAGUACAUGAAAUUGUCAAAAGGGAAGCGUUUGACACCAGUGUUGUUUUCUCGAAAAUCAAUUAAAAAAAGUUGGAUUUUGUAUUGUUAAGACCUUAUCAGCUUACUGUACUCUUUUCUUGCUUUUUUUAAUGCACUUUUCGUUUAACAAGUCAACAUCAAUUUCUUUUGUUGUAAAAGAGUCAUUGGAAGGUGGCUUUCACUUCGGUGAAAGUGUUUAUAGCCUUUGGCUUCUGCAAUCGGAGAGAUUGAGGUCUGCAGCGUAGAUCCUUCGGGGCUAGAUACGUAGAUGCUAAGUUAUAGUUUUUUAUAGACAACUUGUUGACUAUAAUUAAUCAUGUAGCUUACUCGUUUGCGCUAUUUUACCUACGCUUAGGAUGUUGACGAUCAGCUGAGCGCG